UCCCUUCCCUUUCAUUCCAGCCAGGAACAGCCAUCCAUAAAGAGACCAGGAUGAGGGGACCAACCAUCUUCCUAUUCUUAGUUCUCAAGAAUUAAACCUGGACUCCAGGACUCAUUCUGCCUCCAAUCAGGUAGAGCUGUGUUUAUGCUAACAGUGUUUCCGAUUUGCCUGCUUUUUUUCAAAACAAAAGGUUAUGAAAUACAUUUAUGUGAUAACCAUUAUUAUCCAAAGUUCAGGUAUGAAGACAUGAAUUGGUGUGAAUAUACUGUGUAUACAACCAGAGAUAUGAAAAAUUGUGCUCUAUAUGUGUAAUAAGAAUUGUAAUGCAUUCUGCUGUCAUAUAUAAAUUUUUUAAAAAUUUUAAAAAAGAAAUAAAUUUAUUCUGCUCUGUAUGGACCCAGAAAAAGCCCUGGUCUCUUGUGAAGACCAGAGAAGGAAAAAAUUAGUGCCUGGUACUUUUGAGUCUGUAUUCAUCAUCUAAUUUAACACACACACACACACACAUACAUACACUACAUCCUUUCCCAAAUAUACAACAGUACUACUCACUUUAAAGAUUCUUCUUAAAUCCCAUUAGUGGUUGUUCUUCCUGGGAUUAGAAGAAUUUGGUAUUUUUCCCUUGCCUCCAUGUUCUUGUAUAUUUACUUUCCAUUCCAAGUUACCCCGACAUUCUUAUUCAUGAAACACUUAUUUCCUCUCAAACCAAGUCUUUUGUUUUAUUGUAAAGCAUUUGCUAUAAGUAAACCCUUCUUUAAAUGGUACUGUCAGGCUGAGGAUAUGGCUCAGUGGUAGAGCACCUGGCUAGCAGGCAGGAGGCCCUGGUUUGUCCCCAGCAAAACACAAACACACAGGGUGGGGGAGAAAGGGUCCUGUCAUUAACUGAACAGAGAUGGAAGGAAGAUAUCUAAGCCUGAAUUUGCUUUUAAUAGCCACAUCUACAGGAUCUAAAGAAAUGAGAGUAGUGUUCUUAUGAAGUGAGGCAAAAUGCCAACUGAUUCAUUGUUACCAGAAGACAAUGAAGUGCAUGAGAAAAGAAGGGAAGGAGGAGGUUAGAGGAGAUAUUUUUCCCUCUUUGGCUCUUAGCUAGCCCACAUUUCAUGGAUAAAUUCUUCAAUCUUGUCAAACCUCAAUUUCCUCAUCUGUGAAAGGGGAACAUAAUGCUGAUCAUAUGUAACUUACAAGUUUUCGGAUUGAUUCCAGAACACUAUAUGGCGUUUAUAUUUUAGAAAUAGUAAUUUUGCCUCCUAAAUGAUACAGAUUGGGUAAAUCUCUCACUCUGGCACUCAUCGUUGCCUUAUAUAAUGUUUUCUCAAUAACACUAUUGUUGUUUGUAUUCAAGCCUAUUGCCACAUUGAUAGGAUCAUAGAACUUAGACCCAAAAGGAUCUUUAGGAUUAAAAGUAACCCAAGCUCACCCCACUGUAGUCUAUAUACUGUUAUUCGUCAUUGGAACCCGACCAGCCACAGUCACUCUUUUCCAGUCUUCCUGGGCUCACAUGCGUAAAGAUACAACCAGAAGCCAAAGGAAAAUCGAAAGCCG
This 1539-nucleotide long non-coding RNA is filed under the name Marmota monax (woodchuck). The stretch from base 772 to 832 matches the Rfam family "tRNA". Lineage: Eukaryota; Metazoa; Chordata; Mammalia; Rodentia; Sciuridae. The record is from RNAcentral.